UGGGGAAUAUUGCACAAUGGGCGCAAGCCUGAUGCAGCCAUGCCGCGUGUAUGAAGAAGGCCUUCGGGUUGUAAAGUACUUUCAGCGGGGAGGAAGGGAGUAAAGUUAAUACCUUUGCUCAUUGACGUUACCCGCAGAAGAAGCACCGGCUAACUCCGUGCCAGCAGCCGCGGUAAUACGGAGGGUGCAAGCGUUAAUCGGAAUUACUGGGCGUAAAGCGCACGCAGGCGGUUUGUUAAGUCAGAUGUGAAAUCCCCGGGCUCAACCUGGGAAAUGCAUCUGAUACUGGCAAGCUUGAGUCUCGUAGAGGGGGGUAGAAUUCCAGGUGUAGCGGUGAAAUGCGUAGAGAUGUGGAGGAAUAACGGUGGCGAAGGCGGCCCCCUGGACGAAGACUGACGCUCAGGUGCGAAAGCGUGGGGAGCAAACAGG
This 429-nucleotide ribosomal RNA is filed under the name Chloroflexota bacterium. Its description in RNAcentral is "Chloroflexi bacterium partial 16S ribosomal RNA". It matches the Rfam family "Bacterial small subunit ribosomal RNA", at positions 355 to 776 of the family's 1533-position model. Lineage: Bacteria; Bacillati; Chloroflexota. The record is from RNAcentral.